This 253-nucleotide ribosomal RNA is filed under the name uncultured bacterium. RNAcentral describes it as "partial 16S ribosomal RNA". It matches the Rfam family "Bacterial small subunit ribosomal RNA", at positions 524 to 776 of the family's 1533-position model. The record is from RNAcentral.
UACGUAGGGUGCGAGCGUUGUCCGGAAUUACUGGGCGUAAAGGGCGCGUAGGCGGGAUGGCAAGUCGGUCGUGAAAUCCCUCGGCUCAACCGAGGAACGUCGAUCGAUACUGCUGUUCUUGAGGAUUGCAGAGGAGACUGGAAUUCCCGGUGUAGCGGUGAAAUGUGUAGAGAUCGGGAGGAACACCGGUGGCGAAGGCGGGUCUCUGGGCAAUUCCUGACGCUGAGGCGCGAAAGCCAGGGGAGCAAACGGG